RNAcentral lists this ribosomal RNA (231 nucleotides) under uncultured bacterium. RNAcentral's name for it is "partial 16S ribosomal RNA". It matches the Rfam family "Bacterial small subunit ribosomal RNA", at positions 15 to 237 of the family's 1533-position model. The record is from RNAcentral.
GAUCAUGGCUCAGGAUGAACGCUAGCUACAGGCUUAACACAUGCAAGUCGAGGGGCAGCAUGGUCUUAGCUUGCUAAGGCCGAUGGCGACCGGCGCACGGGCGAGUAACGCGUAUCCAACCUGCCUUACACUCUUGGACAGCCUUCUGAAAGGGAGAUUAAUACAAGAUGUUAUCAUGAGUAAGCAUUUUCGCAUGAUUAAAGGUUUACCGGUGUAAGAUGGGGAUGUGUU